GGGACCUAGCUUGCUAGGUUGCCGGCGAGUGGCGGACGGGUGAGUAACGCGUAGGAAUUUGCCCUAUAGUGGGGGACAACUCGAGGAAACUCGAGCUAAUACCGCAUACCCUCUACGGAGGAAAGCUUGGCCUUUUGGCCUGGCGCUAUAGGAGAAUCCUGCGUUCGAUUAGCUUGUUGGUGAGGUAAUGGCUCACCAAGGCGACGAUCGAUAGCUGGUCUGAGAGGAUGAUCAGCCACACUGGGACUGAGACACGGCCCAGACUCCUACGGGAGGCAGCAGUGGGGAAUAUUGGACAAUGGGGGAAACCCUGAUCCAGCAAUGCCGCGUGUGUGAAGAAGGCCUUCGGGUUGUAAAGCACUUUCAGUGGGGAGGAAAGGUAGUUGUUUAAGAGAUGAUUACUGUGACGUUACCCACAGAAGAAGCACCGGCUAACUCUGUGCCAGCAGCCGCGGUAAUACAGAGGGUGCGAGCGUUAAUCGGAAUUACUGGGCGUAAAGAGCACGUAGGUGGAUGAAUAAGUCAGGGGUGAAAGUCCUGGGCUCAACCGAGGGAUUGCCUC
This 562-nucleotide ribosomal RNA is filed under the name uncultured bacterium. RNAcentral's name for it is "bacterial SSU rRNA". It matches the Rfam family "Bacterial small subunit ribosomal RNA", at positions 70 to 627 of the family's 1533-position model. The record is from RNAcentral.